GGGUUGUGAGGUUAAGCGACUAAGCGUACACGGUGGAUGCCCUGGCAGUCAGAGGCGAUGAAGGACGUGCUAAUCUGCGAUAAGCGUCGGUAAGGUGAUAUGAACCGUUAUAACCGGCGAUUUCCGAAUGGGGAAACCCAGUGUGAUUCGUCACACUAUCAUUAACUGAAUCCAUAGGUUAAUGAGGCGAACCGGGGGAACUGAAACAUCUAAGUACCCCGAGGAAAAGAAAUCAACCGAGAUUCCCCCAGUAGCGGCGAGCGAACGGGGAGCAGCCCAGAGCCUGAAUCAGUGUGUGUGUUAGUGGAAGCGUCUGGAAAGGCGCGCGAUACAGGGUGACAGCCCCGUACACAAAAAUGCACAUGCUGUGAGCUCGAUGAGUAGGGCGGGACACGUGGUAUCCUGUCUGAAUAUGGGGGGACCAUCCUCCAAGGCUAAAUACUCCUGACUGACCGAUAGUGAACCAGUACCGUGAGGGAAAGGCGAAAAGAACCCCGGCGAGGGGAGUGAAAAAGAACCUGAAACCGUGUACGUACAAGCAGUGGGAGCACGCUUAGGCGUGUGACUGCGUACCUUUUGUAUAAUGGGUCAGCGACUUAUAUUCUGUAGCAAGGUUAACCGAAUAGGGGAGCCGAAGGGAAACCGAGUCUUAACUGGGCGUUAAGUUGCAGGGUAUAGACCCGAAACCCGGUGAUCUAGCCAUGGGCAGGUUGAAGGUUGGGUAACACUAACUGGAGGACCGAACCGACUAAUGUUGAAAAAUUAGCGGAUGACUUGUGGCUGGGGGUGAAAGGCCAAUCAAACCGGGAGAUAGCUGGUUCUCCCCGAAAGCUAUUUAGGUAGCGCCUCGUGAAUUCAUCUCCGGGGGUAGAGCACUGUUUCGGCAAGGGGGUCAUCCCGACUUACCAACCCGAUGCAAACUACGAAUACCGGAGAAUGUUAUCACGGGAGACACACGGCGGGUGCUAACGUCCGUCGUGAAGAGGGAAACAACCCAGACCGCCAGCUAAGGUCCCAAAGUCAUGGUUAAGUGGGAAACGAUGUGGGAAGGCCCAGACAGCCAGGAUGUUGGCUUAGAAGCAGCCAUCAUUUAAAGAAAGCGUAAUAGCUCACUGGUCGAGUCGGCCUGCGCGGAAGAUGUAACGGGGCUAAACCAUGCACCGAAGCUGCGGCAGCGACGCUUAUGCGUUGUUGGGUAGGGGAGCGUUCUGUAAGCCUGUGAAGGUGUACUGUGAGGUAUGCUGGAGGUAUCAGAAGUGCGAAUGCUGACAUAAGUAACGAUAAAGCGGGUGAAAAGCCCGCUCGCCGGAAGACCAAGGGUUCCUGUCCAACGUUAAUCGGGGCAGGGUGAGUCGACCCCUAAGGCGAGGCCGAAAGGCGUAGUCGAUGGGAAACAGGUUAAUAUUCCUGUACUUGGUGUUACUGCGAAGGGGGGACGGAGAAGGCUAUGUUGGCCGGGCGACGGUUGUCCCGGUUUAAGCGUGUAGGCUGGUUUUCCAGGCAAAUCCGGAAAAUCAAGGCUGAGGCGUGAUGACGAGGCACUACGGUGCUGAAGCAACAAAUGCCCUGCUUCCAGGAAAAGCCUCUAAGCAUCAGGUAACAUCAAAUCGUACCCCAAACCGACACAGGUGGUCAGGUAGAGAAUACCAAGGCGCUUGAGAGAACUCGGGUGAAGGAACUAGGCAAAAUGGUGCCGUAACUUCGGGAGAAGGCACGCUGAUAUGUAGGUGAAGCGACUUGCUCGUGGAGCUGAAAUCAGUCGAAGAUACCAGCUGGCUGCAACUGUUUAUUAAAAACACAGCACUGUGCAAACACGAAAGUGGACGUAUACGGUGUGACGCCUGCCCGGUGCCGGAAGGUUAAUUGAUGGGGUUAGCGCAAGCGAAGCUCUUGAUCGAAGCCCCGGUAAACGGCGGCCGUAACUAUAACGGUCCUAAGGUAGCGAAAUUCCUUGUCGGGUAAGUUCCGACCUGCACGAAUGGCGUAAUGAUGGCCAGGCUGUCUCCACCCGAGACUCAGUGAAAUUGAACUCGCUGUGAAGAUGCAGUGUACCCGCGGCAAGACGGAAAGACCCCGUGAACCUUUACUAUAGCUUGACACUGAACAUUGAGCCUUGAUGUGUAGGAUAGGUGGGAGGCUUUGAAGUGUGGACGCCAGUCUGCAUGGAGCCGACCUUGAAAUACCACCCUU
This 2190-nucleotide ribosomal RNA is filed under the name Escherichia coli. Its description in RNAcentral is "partial 23S ribosomal RNA". It matches the Rfam family "Bacterial large subunit ribosomal RNA", at positions 1 to 2207 of the family's 2925-position model. Lineage: Bacteria; Pseudomonadati; Pseudomonadota; Gammaproteobacteria; Enterobacterales; Enterobacteriaceae. The record is from RNAcentral.